CUUAAUGCUGCUCCCUCCAUCACUGUUCUGCUUGCCACUGAGGGGAGAGGUGGGAGGAGGUCUUGGACUGUCUUUGCAGGGGCCCUUGGAGACCCAAGUUCCCAAGCCCCUCCCUGUCCUCAUACACCAUUUCCCUGCUCCCCAGACUAUGCCUUCUGUCCUGGCCAGCAGGCUGUCAGGCUGCUGCUGACAUGCUGUGUGUGNUCUUCUUCUCCCACUUUGUUCUCUGCAUCAUGAGUCCUUGUUUUCUGCUGCUGUUCUGUGUCAUGAGUUCAUCUGGAAGCAAGUCAAGAGCAUCCUCUUUGUUCUUCCUCUGGCCAUGUGCGCCUCCAUCCCACAACCAUGUCCUGCUACGAUCUGUGCCGUCCCUGUGGGCCAACCCCGCUUGCCAACAGCUGCAACGAGCCCUGUGUCCGGCAGUGCCAG
This 426-nucleotide long non-coding RNA is filed under the name Cairina moschata (Muscovy duck). RNAcentral describes it as "domestica (muscovy Duck (domestic type)) lncRNA (ENSCMMG00000009010.1)". The record is from RNAcentral. Lineage: Eukaryota; Metazoa; Chordata; Aves; Anseriformes; Anatidae.